GGCCCGGAGGUGGGUUGUUAACCCGACCCUCAGCCCCAGGGGCGAAAAGUCGAAACUGCUCCGAGAUACCGUAUUGUUCCCUAAGCCGUUCGACGUUCAACCCCGAAAGUGAAGAAGCCUCCGCCUCCGGGGUCGAUCGGAAAUCAUCGGUCGGGUUCCCCGACUGACUUCCUUGAAGAGAGGUUCUAGCCAUAACGCUCGCCCC
RNAcentral lists this long non-coding RNA (205 nucleotides) under Elaeis guineensis (African oil palm). RNAcentral describes it as "long non-coding RNA (EGUI_LNC005364)". The record is from RNAcentral. Lineage: Eukaryota; Viridiplantae; Streptophyta; Magnoliopsida; Arecales; Arecaceae.